This 770-nucleotide long non-coding RNA is filed under the name Physcomitrium patens. RNAcentral describes it as "long non-coding RNA (PPAT_LNC013142)". Lineage: Eukaryota; Viridiplantae; Streptophyta; Bryopsida; Funariales; Funariaceae. The record is from RNAcentral.
AAGAUUGGCAUUAAGAUCAAAGAAAAAGGCUAGCCGACAACCAAGCACAUUUUUGAGGUUAUUGUCUAUUUAGUAAUUCCAAUCAUUUUUAAUUUUUUUUUUCAUAUUUUUUAUCAAGUUGAUUGUUAAGAGGUGUGUAAAAUUUGAAUUAAAAUCAAUAGUUUUUUCAUUAGUUAUUAAGGUUUAAAUCUACUAUAAGAAUUACUUAGGAUUGGUUAGGAUUUGGUUUAGGAUUUAGUUUAGAGUUUGAUUUAGGGUUAUGAUUAGGAUUAGGAUUUUGAAUUAAUUUAAGAUUUGAUUAGAAUUAAGAUUUUUUUUAAAUUUGAUUAGGAUUUGAUUAGGAUUUGACUUGGAUUUUACUAGAAUUUGGUUAGGAUUUAUUUAAGAUUUGAUUAAGAUUGGAUUAGAAUUAGGAUUUGGUUUGGAUUUUUAUAGGGUUUCUUUAGGAUUUCUUUAGGUUUCUUUAGAAUUUCUUUAUAAUUCUUUUAUAAUUUUUUUCAAAAAUUAAAAAUAAUAAUAUUAAUAAUAAUAAUAAUAAUAAUAAUAAUAAUAAUAAUUAGAUUUAAUUGAUUCUUGAUUAUGAUUAUUAAGCUUUUAUAGUAAUUUAUAUAUGAUUUUAUUAGAGUGGUUAGGACUUGUUGUUGCAAAUUUCUUUUAUCUUCUACAGCCAUGUGCCUAGUGCAUUCUCAAGCAAGAUUUCACGUAAUACAAAAAUAUUUAUUAAUAUCAUAUCUAUGAUAAUGAAUAGGAUAUUUUAAUCUAUUUUUGCA